UACGGGGGGGGCAAGCGUUGUUCGGAAUUACUGGGCGUAAGGGCUCGUAGGUGGCCAACUAAGUCGGACGUGAAAUCCCUCGGCUUAACCGGGGAACUGCGUCCGAUACUGGUUGGCUUGAGUUUGGGAGAGGGAUGCGGAAUUCCAGGUGUAGCGGUGAAAUGCGUAGAUAUCUGGAGGAACACCGGUGGCGAAGGCGGCAUCCUGGACCAAUACUGACGCUGAGGAGCGAAAGCGUGGGGAGCGAACAGG
RNAcentral lists this ribosomal RNA (252 nucleotides) under uncultured bacterium. RNAcentral describes it as "partial 16S ribosomal RNA". It matches the Rfam family "Bacterial small subunit ribosomal RNA", at positions 524 to 776 of the family's 1533-position model. The record is from RNAcentral.